CCUACCAUUAUCUUUUACAUUAAUGGAUCUCAGUUCCCACUACCUCCUUCUGCUUAUGUCUCCAAUGACAAUGGCUACUGUGCACUUGCAAUCGAGCCAACAUAUGUGUCUUCCUCAAAUGGGCAGCCUCUGUGGAUCUUGGGCGAUGUCUUCCUUAAAGAGUAUUACUCUAUUUUUGACAUCGGAAAUAACAGGGUUGGUUUGGCACCAUCGGCCUAAAGUGAUGAUACCAAAUACUAAUUUCCUGUCUGGAUUAAUGAGCUGAUUGUUUGGACUCUAACAAAAUAUUUCUAAUUAAAUGUGUACAGCAAAAUUGUAUGUUCUUCAAUAUUUACAUACAACCUCAAACACUUUACAUACAGUUUGUUCACUUAGGAUCCAUUGCCACACAGAAAUAAAUUAUGUGAACUGUAGACAAAAAAUGGGGAACCCAAUUGGGGAACUAUAGCAAAUCCAAAAAAUCAGUGGUUGUUCUUGGAGUUAGCUCUUUGCAUCAAUAAAUUCUCACUCAAUGUCUUUUUUAAGCAUUUUCAAUUAGUGAAAGAAAUUUAACAUGUUGUUACACUUAUUCUACACUCUUCAAGUUUUAAGAAUUGCCAGGGACACAGUGCUAGUCUAGGCUUGGUUUUCUUUUGGAAAGAAUUUACUGGAGGCUUUUUAGAGUUUUUAAAAUUGAUUAAAAUGUACAAGUUAUAAUAUUUGAUGUUAAAGAAGUUAUUUCUAUACAAUGUGAUAGUAUGCAUAAUUAUGAGUCCAAUAAAUAUUAAAUAAUAAA
This is a non-coding RNA of Python bivittatus (Burmese python), 775 nucleotides long. The record is from RefSeq and is a predicted model, not a curated record. Lineage: Eukaryota; Metazoa; Chordata; Lepidosauria; Squamata; Pythonidae.